AUCGACGAUUCAAAAAAUAUUGCAAGAGUGUUGCAGCAUAUGCUCACAGAUGGCGCCUUCAUGCAUAUUACCGCGAAAAGAAGUCACAGCUCGCCUAGCGCUGUCAGAUUUCUCUUUCAGAAUCGCGUCUAGUUUCCCGCAAAAUUAUCCAAGAAUUAAAUCACCCACCACCAGAUGUUGCUUUCUCAGCAGCAGCAGCUCCGCCUCUUCUCCGCCACAAUCCACCUCCUCCCCCCCUUCCCAUUCUCGCAUUCCCUCAAUUCCCCCCUGAAAUCCACCAAACAAUGCACUCGCUGCUCCGCCCCCAAAAUAUCGAUUGCGCAGCUAUCCGAAGCCACCACCGCCAGCUCGCCGCCGGAGGAAGGCCCCGUCGAGAUCCCACCCUCAAUUUCCCCACUAUUCGCCACCGACGACGACCCCACACCUCUCCAAACUGCCACCAGCGUUCUCCUCACCGGCGCCAUCACGAUUUUCCUCUUCCGCUCCCUCCGCCGUCGCGCCAAGUGUGCGAAAGAGACGAAAUUUAGAUCAUCUGGUGAAAAGAAAUCGCUCAAGGAGGAGGCGUUGGAUAGCUUGAAAUCCGUUACUCUUUCGCCAGCUGAUAGCAAGUCUCCGCCUUCGCCAGUUCAGGCGUUUUUGGGCGCAGUAGCAGCUGGCGUGCUCGCACUCAUUCUGUACAAAUUCACGACCACGAUCGAAGCUGCUCUCAACCGCCAAACAAUUCCAGAUAAUUAUUCAGUUAGACAGAUAACCAUAACCAUAAGGACGAUCAUCAAUGGUUUGUGCUACCUCGCUACGUUUGUUUUUGGUAUCAAUUCUCUCGGAUUGCUUCUUUACUCCGGCCAGCUUGCCUUCAACUCGUUAAUGGACGAAUCCGAGAAUGAGGACGAAGCGCCACCAAGACCAGAUGAUGACUCUGGAUUAACGAGUGCCACCGAGGAUCAAAGCUCCGAUGAAACACAGUAAUAGAUACGGCGAUUGGACGGCCAUAUUCGUAGAAUUCGAGAACUCUGUGUCGUGAUUCGGUAGUGGACAGAACAAGAAAAACACGAGAAAAUCGAGUGUCCAUCGAUCUUCCUCCUCAGGCUCAGUGAUCGUCGAUCUUCGUGUAAGGGUCGCAACUCAGUGGCCGAGCAUACUGAGGCAGUGGGGUUGUGUUCCUAUCCAAGAACUGCAGAAGCGUCACUGUGAUCACUGAGCUGAGAAACAUCGGAAUCGGGCCAAAAAUCCACAGCAUCAAAUUGGUGGCUAAAUAGAGCGAUCGGAGCCCGACCACCCAGAAAUUACAUCCCGUUAUGACUGCAUUCUCGACAUUGCCCGCGAGCAUUACGCAGUUGGGCAAGCUGAUGAGGAAACCGGCGUGAAGGAAGCUCGUUGAUGCGUGGACGAAACAAACAAAGGCAAUCACGAAGCUGGUGAGAAUUGCCAGGUAUUUGGUGUAAAUAAUGGUUGGACUCAUGUUUCCAUAGACUCUCGCUGCUACGGGUUCGUUGUUGUACGAGUUUCCAAUCCACGCCACGAGCAACGAGCAGAGAACAAGGGCGAUGGAUGCUAGAGACAUCGCUGCAAAUAAGUAGUUCCCUGUCACUGUAAGUGCUUGAUUUCUAUCCUUUACUUCAACCUGCAAAUUUAUUCAUCUAAGCUUAGUUAUUGUGCAAAAGUCACAUAAUUGGAAUUUAUAUUCGGAAUUCCAAAUAGUUGCAAAACA
RNA transcript from Salvia splendens (bonfire salvia), 1708 nucleotides. RefSeq lists it as uncharacterized. Lineage: Eukaryota; Viridiplantae; Streptophyta; Magnoliopsida; Lamiales; Lamiaceae. The record is from RefSeq and is a predicted model, not a curated record. The transcript has 6 exons.